Molecule: ribosomal RNA, 431 nt
Filed under: uncultured bacterium
Lineage: Bacteria
Description: partial 16S ribosomal RNA
Rfam family: Bacterial small subunit ribosomal RNA
Source: RNAcentral
AACGAACGCUGGCGGCAGGCCUAACACAUGCAAGUCGAGCGCCCUUUCGGGGGAGCGGCGGACGGGUGAGUACCGCGUGGGAAUAUGCCCUUCUCUACGGAAUAGCCUCGGGAAACUGAGAGUAAUACCGUAUACGCCCUGUGGGGGAAAGAUUUAUCGGGGAAGGAUUAGCCCGCGUUGGAUUAGGUAGUUGGUGGGGUAAUGGCCUACCAAGCCGACGAUCCAUAGCUGGUUUGAGAGGAUGAUCAGCGACACUGGGACUGAGACACGGCCCAGACUCCUACGGGAGGCAGCAGUGGGGAAUCUUAGACAAUGGGGGCAACCCUGAUCUAGCCAUGCCGCGUGAGUGAUGAAGGCCUUAGGGUUGUAAAGCUCUUUCAGCUGGGAAGAUAAUGACGGUACCAGCAGAAGAAGCCCCGGCUAACUCCGUG